This 481-nucleotide ribosomal RNA is filed under the name uncultured bacterium. RNAcentral describes it as "bacterial SSU rRNA". It matches the Rfam family "Bacterial small subunit ribosomal RNA", at positions 28 to 526 of the family's 1533-position model. The record is from RNAcentral.
GACGAACGCUGGCGGCGUGCUUAACACAUGCAAGUCGAGCGGUAAGGCCCUUCGGGGUACACGAGCGGCGAACGGGUGAGUAACACGUGGGUGAUCUGCCUUGCACUCUGGGAUAAGCCUGGGAAACUGGGUCUAAUACCGGAUAUGACCGCGAAUCGCAUGGUUUGUGGUGGAAAGAUUUAUCGGUGCGAGAUGGGCCCGCGGCCUAUCAGCUUGUUGGUGGGGUAAUGGCCUACCAAGGCGACGACGGGUAGCCGACCUGAGAGGGUGACCGGCCACACUGGGACUGAGACACGGCCCAGACUCCUACGGGAGGCAGCAGUGGGGAAUAUUGCACAAUGGGCGAAAGCCUGAUGCAGCGACGCCGCGUGAGGGAUGACGGCCUUCGGGUUGUAAACCUCUUUCGACAGGGACGAAGCGCAAGUGACGGUACCUGUAGAAGAAGCACCGGCCAACUACGUGCCAGCCGCCGCCGUAACAC